This 377-nucleotide ribosomal RNA is filed under the name uncultured bacterium. Its description in RNAcentral is "bacterial SSU rRNA". It matches the Rfam family "Bacterial small subunit ribosomal RNA", at positions 30 to 409 of the family's 1533-position model. The record is from RNAcentral.
AUUGAACGCUGGCGGCAUGCCUUACACAUGCAAGUCGAACGGUAACGGGCCUUCGGGUGCCGACGAGUGGCGAACGGGUGAGUAAUGCAUCGGAACGUACCUUUCAGUGGGGGAUAACGUAGCGAAAGUUACGCUAAUACCGCAUAUUCUGUGAGCAGGAAAGCAGGGGAUCGCAAGACCUUGCGCUGAUUGAGCGGCCGAUGUCAGAUUAGCUAGUUGGUGAGGUAAAGGCUCACCAAGGCGACGAUCUGUAGCGGGUCUGAGAGGAUGAUCCGCCACACUGGAACUGAGACACGGUCCAGACUCCUACGGGAGGCAGCAGUGAGGAAUUUUGGACAAUGGGCGAAAGCCUGAUCCAGCCAUGCCGCGUGUCUGAA